ACGCUGCCCUGUGACUGCUCCUUGCUACACGACAGUGCUUUUUGCCAAGUCUGGCACAUGGUGCCUCCUCUGGCUGCGUCGUCUUAUCUAAACCUGGCAGGGAUUGUACAGAACAUUUCUGUUACCUGUCCAGGAGUCAGUGCCCACCAUGGGCCAUUCUGCUUCCUUAAUCCUGUCUUCUCUCAGCAUAUGGAAAGAAUAGAAGAGCUUUUCCCAACCAACCCUGAGCAAAAUUGUCAGCUAGUUUGAGAGAAACAUAGAGCUGAAAGGAAACCUGGAAUUCAUCUAGACUAAUCCUCACAUUUUGCAAAUUGAAAGUUCAUUUCCUAAACAGUGGAUGAGAUGUCUACAAGUCCACGCAGCUUGACAGCAGUGUGUGCGAUAUGACAGUGCUCCCUGCCAGAGAGAAGGCAUCAGCUGAAGUGCCUUAGAAACCCGCCCCCAGUAACUGCCUCCCACACAACCCCAGACCUUUUCUCUGGUGACCGACCCUCUGCUCCACCUUUGGCAUCUCUCUAGUUAGUUCCAGCUGUUCCUCUUGUGUAUGGUGUCAGCUGGGGUUCAGUCAAGAGGAUAGUUAGGCCAGGUAUUUAAAACAGAGGGGAUUUCCACUACUGGGCAGGAGCAGAAGACAGACGUGUGUACACAGAGCGGGAAGGGGAGUGAGUGAGUGAAAGCCACUCAGUCAUGUCAGAUUCUUUACAACCCCAUGGACUAUAGCCCGCCACACUCCUCUGCCCAUGGAAUUCUCCAGGAAGCAGCCACCAUCACAGGUGAGAGGACCACAGGAAAGAAGUGGUGUCACUGGAGGCUGUGCAGUCACAGGAAUGCUCCCCAGGAUGUAGAUGUGCCAACAGCCAAGGCUAGAACCCUCAGCUGGAGCCUUGUGACUGAUACCCAAAACCAUGAGGGAAUUGCCACAUGGUCAUUGAUGGACAAAUUCCAAUAGAACUUACUCUACUGCUAAAGAAAAAUGGCUUAUGAAAAUAAACUCAUUUACAACAGCUGAAAGCCUUGUUAUGCUAAUGAAAAAUCAUUUUUAUGUAAUCAUUAAAACCAGUCCCUUAAGGAUAUAUAC
Long non-coding RNA from Bos taurus (domestic cattle), 1078 nucleotides. Lineage: Eukaryota; Metazoa; Chordata; Mammalia; Artiodactyla; Bovidae. The record is from Ensembl.